RNAcentral lists this ribosomal RNA (1372 nucleotides) under uncultured bacterium. RNAcentral describes it as "bacterial SSU rRNA". It matches the Rfam family "Bacterial small subunit ribosomal RNA", at positions 28 to 1381 of the family's 1533-position model. The record is from RNAcentral.
GAUGAACGCUGGCGGCGUGCCUAAUACAUGCAAGUCGAGCGAACAGACGAGGAGCUUACUCCUCUGACGUUAGCGGCGGACGGGUGAGUAACACGUGGAUAACCUACCUAUAAGACUGGGAUAACUUCGGGAAACCGGAGCUAAUACCGGAUAACAUGUUGAACCGCAUGGUUCAACAGUGAAAGACGGUCUUGCUGUCACUUAUAGAUGGAUCCGCGUCGCAUUAGCUAGUUGGUAAGGUAACGGCUUACCAAGGCAACGAUGCGUAGCCGACCUGAGAGGGUGAUCGGCCACACUGGAACUGAGACACGGUCCAGACUCCUACGGGAGGCAGCAGUAGGGAAUCUUCCGCAAUGGGCGAAAGCCUGACGGAGCAACGCCGCGUGAGUGAAGAAGGUCUUCGGAUCGUAAAACUCUGUUAUUAGGGAAGAACAAAUGUGUAAGUAACUAUGCACGUCUUGACGGUACCUAAUCAGAAAGCCACGGCUAACUACGUGCCAGCAGCCGCGGUAAUACGUAGGUGGCAAGCGUUAUCCGGAAUUAUUGGGCGUAAAGCGCGCGUAGGCGGUUUUUUAAGUCUGAUGUGAAAGCCCACGGCUCAACCGUGGAGGGUCAUUGGAAACUGGAAAACUUGAGUGCAGAAGAGGAAAGUGGAAUUCCAUGUGUAGCGGUGAAAUGCGCAGAGAUAUGGAGGAACACCAGUGGCGAAGGCGACUUUCUGGUCUGUAACUGACGCUGAUGUGCGAAAGCGUGGGGAUCAAACAGGAUUAGAUACCCUGGUAGUCCACGCCGUAAACGAUGAGUGCUAAGUGUUAGGGGGUUUCCGCCCCUUAGUGCUGCAGCUAACGCAUUAAGCGCUCCGCCUGGGGAGUACGACCGCAAGGUUGAAACUCAAAGGAAUUGACGGGGACCCGCACAAGCGGUGGAGCAUGUGGUUUAAUUCGAAGCAACGCGAAGAACCUUACCAAAUCUUGACAUCCUCUGACCCCUCUAGAGAUAGAGUUUUCCCCUUCGGGGGACAGAGUGACAGGUGGUGCAUGGUUGUCGUCAGCUCGUGUCGUGAGAUGUUGGGUUAAGUCCCGCAACGAGCGCAACCCUUAAGCUUAGUUGCCAUCAUUAAGUUGGGCACUCUAAGUUGAUUGCCGGUGACAAACCGGAGGAAGGUGGGGAUGACGUCAAAUCAUCAUGCCCCUUAUGAUUUGGGCUACACACGUGCUACAAUGGACAAUACAAAGGGUAGCGAAACCGCGAGGUCAAGCAAAUCCCAUAAAGUUGUUCUCAGUUCGGAUUGUAGUCUGCAACUCGACUACAUGAAGCUGGAAUCGCUAGUAAUCGUAGAUCAGCAUGCUACGGUGAAUACGUUCCCGGGUCU